GAGAGGGGAGCAGAGGAAGAGAAGGAGGAGGAGGAGGAGGAGGAGGAGGAGAGGAAAUGACUUGCAGUUCCGGAUGGAUAGCCAGCCAGGCAGGCAGUCUGUAUAUAUAAUAGAUUUUCACCCCCUCCCUCCUUACCUCCCCUCCUCCUUCGCCUCCCUCUCCCCUUCAGGC
Molecule: non-coding RNA, 172 nt
Organism: Xyrichtys novacula (pearly razorfish)
Lineage: Eukaryota; Metazoa; Chordata; Actinopteri; Labriformes; Labridae
Source: the annotation of a GenBank genome assembly